CCUGAAUCCUGCAGCUCAGUGUUACUGAGAUCCAGUUCUUUCAGUGGUGAGUUUACUGAUUUCAGAGCAGUGCAGAGAGUUUCACAGGAAUUCAUUGUUAGUUUACAGCCAGGUAAUCUACAAGACAAAAACAAACUAUUAAAAAACAGAGAAUAUCUAAUUCAUACUCACAGUUAUCAGUAAUU
Molecule: long non-coding RNA, 185 nt
Organism: Astyanax mexicanus (Mexican tetra)
Lineage: Eukaryota; Metazoa; Chordata; Actinopteri; Characiformes; Acestrorhamphidae
Exons: 3
Source: RefSeq, a predicted model, not a curated record